Long non-coding RNA from Xiphophorus hellerii (green swordtail), 10189 nucleotides. RefSeq lists it as uncharacterized. NCBI's taxonomy places the organism in Eukaryota, Metazoa, Chordata, Actinopteri, Cyprinodontiformes, Poeciliidae. The transcript is spliced from 2 exons. The record is from RefSeq and is a predicted model, not a curated record.
AGCUUGUGCUAAAUGACAAAUGAUGUUUAUGCCAAUAAUGCAGAACACGCAAUACAUUGUUUUGCACAUACAGUACAUCGCCAUCAUCUACAGAAUUGUGAUGAACAGCAGGAACAGAACCUUCCUUCAGUCCAAGUCUUCUGGUAAAUCCUGCCGUGUUGGUAGUUUUCAGAGGACUCUGUCAUGAAGUGGUGGUGGAAGAUGGUGAGGGAAACGCAGCAGACCCAGGAUGAGACGAGUAAGAUGGUUUUAAUAAUGAAUAUCCUGAAAUACACAGUCCAAUAAUGUCCAGAAUACCGGGCAGCACGGCUGUGCGGAAGCCAGGGCUCGACGCCGGUAGCAACCAGUUACACAAAGGAUGAGACGACGGACUGAGGAACAUCAGACGACAGAGACUAGACGCCAAAUGAGACGAGGACCAACAAAGACACAGGUGACACUAAAUACACAGGAGGUAAUCAGGGAACGAGACACACUUGGGAACUAAUCAAGGGGAGACAGGACAACACGGAGACUCAGAGACACAGGAACUCAAAACAAACACACAGAGAAACUCAAAUCAUGACGGACUCCUUCCUAAACUGAUCUGUGCAAAUUGCAACUUAUAUUCCAUGGACAUUGCAAGCAAAAUAAAGUAACGCAUCUCUGUUCUCCAUUCGUAGGAGUAGAUGCAUGGACACAUGCAGCCGAUAACAAAACAUUUUCUUUUUCCAGCAGCUAUUAUGCAGCACAGGGACGCCUGCAGGAUACUAUUGGAGUGGACGCACAAUAUUAUCACUGCACCUGACCCACAAGAGCACUACCACAUCUCUUAACACAUCAUCACAUCAGGGUAGAACGUCUUCUCCAUCUAGGUCCAGCCCUCAGAGUCAGAAAACUCUUCUCCUCUAAACCAGAUCUCAACUUCUUGAUUUCUUCCUGCUUCCACAAAGAUUCUUUGUUACUGUUUCAAUCCUCAUCUUGACACCAUCUUUUGGCCGCCAGUGAAACAUCUUCUUGUUGUGGAAUAAUCAAAAUUUCUUUGGUUCCCAUUUGAUGAAAACAGCUUCAGAAAUCCUUGGCAACAGUUCAAUUCAGUGACAUUUCCUCUAAGAAGGAAAGAAAAAAAUAGAUCACCUAGCUUCAGGAAACUUUAGCUGUGAUGCUCAUAGGCUCAAUAGACACAGUCUUUUAUAAGCUCUAAGUUAAUUAUUUUUGCAGCAGAGAAUGCUGUCUGGCAUCUGUAGCCUUUGUGCUGCAGGCGCUGCAACCCUGCAGGCCGUCUGUGAUGCAUGAACGUCCCAGACUGCAGAGCCAGAGGUAAAUUUAGAGAAAGGAGCCAAAUUCUCUCCUCUCUGUAACUGAAUUACAGUUACACUCUGUUUUUUCCUGAAGAAAGACUGAAGAACAUCCAGUAGAUGGAUUUUAGUUGGGAAGAAACACUGAAGGACCCUCAAUGCUCCUACUGUUAAAUACAUCAGCUUAUUGAGUUUAUAAUUUGUGGAAUGUAGAUUGUAAUGCAUGGAAAUUAAAAAAUAAGUUGUUUUUCACUACAAGUGUUGUGUGACAUGACAUCAUUUUAGGGUUAUUUGUAAUUUAGAAGCACAAUAAAAGAAAAAAAUAGGCGAGAAUGGCUUUUGACAGAAACAAAAAUACUCUUCUGCGUCAUUAAAUCUAAAACUUAUAUGUUUAUGUAUGUAUUUCAAACAUGAUAACAGUAUAAAAUGACACACAUGAACAAGGAAUGCAAAAAGACAAAUACUUUUUUGUACCACAAAAAUUUUAACAUACUCGAAAAGGAGUAGGAAGAAGUAAGAAACUUAUGAACUCAUACAAUACUUUCAGACGGACCCUCAUUAGAUCAAAUUAAAAAAUAAAAUAUAAACAUAGGUUAAUUAAUUCAUAUUAAUUACAUGUGUCUAAAUAUACACAUCCGUACAUCCAUACCCACCCACACUCAAAUGCGUUAGCCUCAAUUUACAAAUACACAUUAGUGCUAACUCUCACCCAUAUUUCUCAGGUAGCAGUUUAUUUGAUUCCUUUAACAUAAUUUGAGCAAUUUUAAAUUCCACCAGAUCUUCAAAUUUAAUCUAUCCAAAAACAAAUAUUUUUUAACUAAAUAAAAAUAAUAUCUGUUGAUGUGUGAGCAGAGCAUUAUAUAAAAAAACGAACAUUUCUCACAAACUGAGACUUGUUCAAGGCAUUAAGCCUUGAACAAGGAGCUUGGCUUCCUCCUAUUAUAUAAGUAAUCCUGAUGUUGUUUUCUUUUGAGCAACCUAGUUUUAAACCACUUAUCCAUUAUUAUUUUUCACCACAAUCCUUUGGUAAGCUAACUGUCCAAAAAAAAACCUGUUGCUUACAGGCAGUACCUUAUGGACCAUUAGGGGGCGCCUGCAGACACCAGUUUGAGAAAGACAGCCAUAAUCAAUGCAUAUAAAUUUGUUGGUAUUGCUUAAUCUCUGCUCGCCACUAUCUCUAAAACUGUGGGUAUGUUUUAGACAUCCACAGUUGUGUCUGGCAAGUUUUCUGUCAGGCUUAACAGAAAUAUGAAACCAGUUGUUAACUAUUAAACAUCUCUGCCAGUAGCAUUUCACUAGAGAUUCAACAGAGCAGAUGGUUUGAAUAAAGUAGUGCAUCUUUGUAGCUGUUCUUUAUUUAGUUUUCUUAUUAAAAGUUAAUGAAGCAGCCUACAUUCUAAAGUCAUGUCAGAUGCCAUAUGAAAAAGGCAUACAGUGUAGUUAUGGUGCCUCCAAAAACAUGAAAUUCACUAACUGACUAUCUGUGUUAAUAAAAAUUCAGCAAUGUAAAAUCAGAGUCAAUAGCACAGUUGAAACCAAAAGUUUACAUACAUCAACUAUAAAGACAAAUACAUCUAUUUGAUCACUGUCUGAAAUUAAAUCUCAUAUAAUUUACAUGGAAAUUGAUCUCUUGUGUUAGGUGAAUUAGAAUAACAAGAAUAUUUUUAUUUGUCAUAAUAAUGAGAGAAAGAAUAUGUCAGAAAUGUAUUUAUUAAUGUGUUGAAAAUCAGAAGUUCACGUACAUUUUCUCGGUAUUUGGUUGAAUUGCCUUUGAAAUAUUUGACUUGACUCAAUGUUUUGGGUUUCCUUCCACAAGCUUCUCACAAUAGUUUGCUGGAUUUCUGGUCCAUUCCUCAUAUCUACUCCCAAAUUCGCAAUAGGAUUGAAGUCAGGACUUUGUGAUGGUCACAACAAAUGGUAAAUGGUAAAUGGCUUUGUACUUGCAUAGCACCUUAUCAAGUCCAGAGGACCUCACCCUACACUACACUCAUUCACCCAUUCACAUGCUGAUGCUGGUAUCUUACUGGAUAGUAGCCACAGCUGCCCUGGGGCAGUUUGACAAUAGCAAAGCUGUCAUACACCAGCACCACCUGGCCCUCUGACCCCACAAGCAGGCAAGGUGGGUGAAGUAUCUUGUCCAAGGUUGCAGCGACAUAGCCAGGUGGAGCGGGGAUCGAAUCAGCAAUUUGCCUAUUACAAGGCAAACUCCUACCACCACCAACUCCGUCACCAUCACCCAAACAAAACAUUGACUUUGUUGUCCACAAGUCAUUUUGUAACAACUUUAAAUGUAUGCUGAGGGCUAUUGUCCAUUUGGAAGAUCCAUUUGCAACUGAGGUUUUACUCACUGGCUGAUGUCUUUAGUUGCUUCAAUAUUUCCACAAAAUGUUCUUUCUUCAUGAUGCUAUCUAUUUAAUGAAGUGUACUGGUUCCCCCUGGAGCAAAAUAGCCCUACAACAUGAUGCUGUACAGAUGUAAUGAUGGUGAUUAUGGUCAAACAGUUCCACUACUUUCAUCAGAAUACUGGAUAUGUCCUCAAAAUAUAGAUCUUUGUCAAUGUGUGCAAUCUGGCUUUUUCAUGUUUCUUGUAGAAACAUGAAUGACUUCCUCCUCUCUGAGAGUCCUUUCAGCCUACAUCAAUACAAGACAUGUUUUACUGUGGAUAAUGACCUUCUUAACAGUUUCAGCCAGCAUAAUCAAUGAAGUUUUUUUCAUGCUGAAACACACUGUAUGUUUCAAUGGGAUUGAUUUUCUUUUAGAAAAUGUGCUCUAUUACUAUGGCUUUGCAAUGAAACAUUUCCAACUGGACAACAUAGGCCUGUUCAGAAACAUUUGAUCUUACCUGACCAGUGAUCUCACCUAUAUGUUUCAACUGUUUUAGGACUUUGAGCAGUUGAUAAAUGAUAAUGUUAAUAAAAAACAAAAUAAAAAAUAAUUUAGAAAACAAAGAAAACCUUGUAUGACAAGCAGAAGACAGAAAACAAAAAGUAUUAAAAUGGAUAAUGUUCCUUUUUUAAGCCCAUGAAGCAAAUAUCACAAUUUUACAAUGCUAUAAACCAAUAUCCAUCCAUCUAUCAUCAUCCUGAAAUGUUACAAUACUACUGCAUUAUUCUGUUCUUGAACAAUGCUGAAAGAUAACUGUCAGAACUGCUUUCCUAACACCGGCUCUAAUCCAUGCUCAAGCUUUUAAAAACAGUUGGCUUUUUUUUAAAGGAGGCUUAGAAAAAGUGCAAAAAUGGAAUAGCUUCAAGUAGUGAAAUGAAAUAUGGUAAGAAUAUGAAUGCAGACAAUGGUCUUACCCAUCACCUAUAUGUCUUUAUUGAUUCAGGGGCAGACACUGAAUUAAUGCCCUGUGAACUCGCCAAGUCUCCUGGCAUCCAACUCUUACCCACCUCUAAGUAUCUUGAAGUUUUGGCAAUUAUUGGCCACAUAUUUCACCAGGCCACCCAUGAAACAGGUCAUAUAAAGUUCAGUGUUUCAGGGAAUAACCAUGAACUUAUUUUCUUCCUGAUCAUAAAUCUAAAUGGGCCCCCUGUCAUUUUGGAAGCCAAUUGGCUGAAAAGACACAAUCCCUACAUUGAUUGGGUUAAUAGUGAGGUGAUGGGAUGGUCACCAACUUGCUAUUCCUCUUGCCUCUUAGCAUCUUUGGUCCCCUGUUCUGUCCCUACCAGUGGUCAGGAGACCUAUCCUGACUUAUCCAAGGUACCCGCUGUUUAUCAUAACCUACGGGAGGUGUUUAACAAGCAUCGAGCCCCUUCACUUCCACCUCAUCAGCCCUAUGAUUGUGCCAUCCAUCUGGUUCCUGGUACUUUUUCUCCCAGGGGUUGUCUGUUCCCUUUUUCUGGCCCAGAACCUCUGGCCCAGAGGACAAGGGAUUAUAUAAGUGAUGGACUCAAGGAAGGUACCAUCCGCCAUUCUUCCUCCCCAGUGGGAGCAGGCUUCUUCUUUGUGGGCAAAAAGAUGGUUCCUUAAGACCCUGUAUUGACUACAGAGAGAUGAAUGGAAUUAUAGUCAAAAAUUGUUACCCACUUGCCCUAAUCAACACUGUCUUUGACCUGAUCCAGGGAUCCACAGUUUUUACCAAGCUCGAUCUUAGAAAUGCCUACCAUCUGGUCUGUAUCAAGGUGGGGGAUGAGUGGAAGAUGGCGUUUUACACUCCAACAGGUCAUUACGAAUACCUCGUAAAGCCUUUGGACCUGACCAAUGCUUCAGCGGUGUUCCAGGCACUCGUCAAUGAUGUCCUCAGGGACAUGGUUAGAUGUUUUGCUUGUGUUUACCUGGAUGACAUUUUGAUUUUCUCUAAGGAUCUCAUGGCCCAGCAAGCUCAUGUUUGUUCCGUCAUUUUCUGUUUGCUGCAGAACAACCUGUUUAUUUCUGCAGAGAAGUGUGAGUUUCACAAACCUUAUACUUCAGUCUUGGCUUUCAUCAUCUCUAACAAGGUCUCCAUGGACCUCAGCAAGACGGAUGCUGUCAAGAACUGGCCCCUCCCACAAGACCGUAGACAACUAUAAAGAUUUCUAGGAUUUCCAAACUUUCAUUGCCGGAUCAUCCAAAAAAUCAGGUCUGUGGCCUCUCCACUUCAUGGCCUUACCUCAUCCAAGUACCAGUUCAUUUGGGGUAAGACUGAUAAGUCCUUUGACUGCCUCAAGAGGGCAUUCACCUCAGCUCCUGUCCUCCACUCACCAUACCCUUCCCACGAAUUCAUCAUAGACAUUGAUGCUUCUGAUUCAGCAGUGGGAGCCAUACUCAGUCAGAGGUGCACUGAUGGAAAGACACACCCAUGUGCUUUCUUUUCCAGGAAGUUGUCUUCUGCAGAGAGUAACUAUAAUGUUAGUGACUGUGAACUGUGGCGGAUAAACUGGCACUCGAGAAGUGGAGGCACUGGCUGGAGGGAGCUAAGGAACCUUUCAUGGUUUGGACUGAUCAUAAAAAUCUGCAGUACCUCAAGUCAGUAAGAAGACUCAACCCCAGGCAACCCAAAGAACACAAAGUGUGACACACUUUCCAGGCUUCAUGAAACUACACAGGAGAUGCAGGAGGCAAGGCAGGUGGACUAUGUGCUUCCCAGAUUGGUACAGCUAGCAGUUACCGAACUUGAGCUGGAGCAGAAAAUAAGCGAGGCCCAUCAGCAAAACCCCAUCCCAGAGAGUUGUCCAAAAGAUCAACUAUUUGUCGCUGAUCAUCUCAUACCAGAGGAACUCUCAUUUUGUCACGAAUCUUGACUUUUUUGUCAUCCUGGAGUCACUAAGACCCUAUCGGUGAUCAAAAGUUGUUUCUGGUGGGGAACUAUGCUUCAAGAUGUCACAGAGUUCAUCAGAGCUUGCCAAGUUUGCAGUCAGUUUAAACCGUCCCAUCAGAGAACCGCAAGCUAGCUCCGCAUUAUCAACCCAGUGGUUGUUUGGCUCUGCCUCCCUAGAACCAUCAAAGUCUGUCCCACCUUUCAUGUGUCCCAAAUCACAUGGGACAUAUGAAAGGUGUCCCAUAUUGGGGUUGUGUCAUCCAUUACCUGGUGGACUGGGAGAGAUGCGGACCAGAGGAGAGCUCCUGGGUGCCAGCCUUUAUAAGGGACUUUCUUCAUUGUAAUCCUGACCAGCCAGGUGGUCCUUCUGUUGUCGGACAAUGAGGUGGGGAUACUGUCAUGAUUCAUGUUCUGUGUCAUGUCCAUGCUGUGUUUAGCCGUUCAUUCAGCUCACCUGUCAUGCCUGAUUGCUUACCUGUCUCACCUGGGUCCCGCUCAACUUAAACACCGCUUAGUCUCUGCCUCCUUUCCAGAUUAUCGACCGUCUUGAACCAAUAGAAAUCCAGCGUUUUCUUCCAAGUCUUCAGCAUAUUAACAACCUUUUCUGUCCACGGAUUUAUCCCUCCUGACAGUCUGGUUACUUGCAGCAAAGAAGAGUAUUCUUUGCUGUCAGUGUUAUUUCAAACAUAUUUCUUUUUUUAUUUGCAACAAUAUUUAACUUUGCUAUCAUCAAUACAUUUAAAAAUGCAAAAUGGGAUUAAAACAUGAACAACUCCCUGAGAAUUGUUUUUUAUUUUUCAUCCCCCCCUGCAAUGGCACUGUGCACCUUCCACACUUUGGGAGCCACUGGUUUAGAUGUUGAGGGGGAAUUAGCUCAAAUGGUAGAGCGUUCGCUGUGCAAAGGCCAAAGCUGACAUAUGACUGAUCUUUGCAUUUCCCAAAAUGGAUCUUGCAGUGGGGCAGAACCAAGAACUGGUCAGCAGCAUCCCCUCCAUUCUGCUUAACAAAUGCUGAGGUUUUGGCCAGGUCCUCCCUGCCACAGCACUUUAAUACUUACCUACUGACAUCCUCAGUUGGCCGCAUGAGGAGUCGACUCUGAGGGGUUUUAUGGAACAAGGCAUACGGAUACAUAAUGUGACAGGGAAAAAGCAUAAACAUAGUGAUACGUAUAAAUAUUGUAUAAAUUAAUAACACAAUCAUUACACUGAAUUUCUGUUACUUUUAUUCACUCAGCAUUCAAAGAACUUACAAAUGAGAAACAUUCACUAUUCACUGCUACGCUGAAGCAAUGCCACGUAACAGUAUUCAUUAUCAAAUAUUGUAAAAUCUUAUCAUUUUUAGCUCUGUUAUGCUGCCCGCACUGUCUUGACAGCAGAACACACUCAAAACAACGCAUUGUUAUAGAUAUAAAAUCCACUGUUUUUGAUAUUAAAAAACGCAGCAAUUUUAUUAACCACAAAAAAUAACACAUAUAGGUGUCAUCUUGUUACAAUACUAAGUGUAAUUAUUUUUUUCGUCUUUCAUAUUGGCAAAGGGUAGACAAAAUCAACAAGAUAGAUCCAUUUUUGUAAAAUGGAACCAGGUAAAUGUUACACAACAACCUUUUUUCCUCUUUUUUUAUUCCAGCUUUCAGUCGAACCUCUACACAAAACUAAAAUUCUUGGUUUUAAUUCUUGGUCUGACACACUUAGCUGUUGAAAAGGAAAAUAUAUGUAAACUCACCAAUUGCCAAAGGACUCCAGAAAGUUAUUGAUGAAACAAUGCUAACACUUUGUCGUUAACAGAGUUUAGAAAGGAUCCAGAAGGUGGAACAUGAUUGGUCACUGGCUCCGGAUGUGAUUGGCCCACUGGGACAUUGGAGUGUGUACUUUAGUCUAAGAUUUACUUUAUUUUAUAGUAAAGGGCUUACUUUAGUCUAAGAUUAGUAUGCUUCAGGCGAAAGUGAGAGUUAGCAGGAUUGAUAACAGGAUCCAAAUAACCUAGCUUUGAUCAUUACUUGAUAGCCAAAGAGUUUGUACAGCAUACUUCCAAUCAUUUAAACAAGCCAGAAGAAUGAGGAGUAUAAAAAUAUGGAAAUGUUUUUUACAUUGUUUUAUUAAAAAGCUCAACAUCAGAAUGUGUCUUUGACCUGUCUCAGCCCUAACAAGAUGUGCUUGGUAAAAUAUCCUACAUCCUGAACCAGAGGGGCUGAUCAAGCUCAGAGAGAACCCAAAAUGCCAGUGUUUGCGUAUCGGCUCUUGUCAAUCAUUUUUUGAUGCACUUGGAUUUCAAAUGAAUAAAAGGACCAACACCAACUUUGAAAUGUAUUCUGCACCGAAAGAUUUAGGGUGACAUACACUAUCGAGCAGUAAAUUCAAUACCUGGAAAAUCAUGAGGGGUAUCAUGUUUUACAAUCUAUUUUGAGCAGUCAGUGUAGACCAGACUAUUAUUCAUUCUCCUUUAAAAAUCAGCUCCUUUUGUUGUCUUUGGUAGUGUGGGUGAGUGGACUAAGGUGCUGGAUUUAGGGUCCAGUCUCUGUGGAGGCAUUGGUUCUACUUCCACCACCAGAGUGAGGUCUUUUACCAAUCGGUUUCUUUCUGAAGAAUUCAAAAAAUCAAGAAGCAAAGGUGUAACUCUUGAUAUUGGGAACUGGGGUGUUCAACUGUUUUUCUGUGCUAGAAAGUGAGUUUUUAUCUUUUGAAUGAACAUUGACUGUGUUCAAUUAAACCACUUUUCUGGGGAUAUGUAAACACAUAAGACUAGAAAUUAUGUGGACAUUUUUAAUAAUAAAUGGAACAUUUAUGUAGUGUCCAUAUAUUUUCAUAAUUGUACACAAACUUUAUUCUUUCAAAGCUAUUAUUAUUCAAUGUUAGCCACUCCAUUAAAAACCCUUUUGAUUGUUCAGUAACACCAAUGUCAGCCAAAUCCCAUCAGAUUCUUAUCAACUACUUUUUGCAUAUGUAAAUUUUAUGAGUGCAAACUACUAACCACAAGGCCCCUCACAAAGCUUAGAUUGAUUUGCUUCAGAGGAGACUAUUAUGGAAAGAACAAUUGACAUGUCAGUUCCUGAGGAGCGCUUCAUCCAUCACUGUCCAACGGCCUUAUUAGUUCUUCACUACAAAGAAAUUCCUAAUUCACCCCUGAGGUUAUUAAGCUCCUGCUAACACCUCUCUUUUAUGGAAAUUUCUAUCAAUGCCCUCUUUAUUAAUUUCUCUCAUUCAUGCAGGAGAUAAAUGCAGCGAAUCCACAUAAAUUGAUGCAAACACAGAAACAUACCUGAUUAGAACAACUUUCACAACAUCUCUAAUAAUCGUGCGAACUGAUGGAAACAUUUAAUCAACAGCUUGCUCAGCUGCGCAUUACUUGUACAUUGUAGAGCGAAAAAGAAUACAAAACACUUUGUGUGUGAGAGAGCUUUUCCAUUUGUUCUCACAAACACAUUCAUGAAAAUAAAAGGUGGAUGAUGGACAGCUGAGCUCCUCUCCAUCAACAAACCUUCUGUCAACUGCAAAAUGCAACUGUUAAAACAAGGUGUGUCCACUAAUUAGCAUUACAGGUGUCUACAAUCUUGUAAUCAGUCAGUGGGCCUAUAGAUGAGGCUACAGGUAGACGCUGUGCUGUUUGUUGACAUGAUGUGUGCCACACUCAACAUGGACCAGAGGAAGCGAAGGAAAGAGUUGUCUCAGGAGAUUAG